Molecule: ribosomal RNA, 253 nt
Filed under: uncultured bacterium
Lineage: Bacteria
Description: partial 16S ribosomal RNA
Rfam family: Bacterial small subunit ribosomal RNA
Source: RNAcentral
UACGGGGGGGGCAAGCGUUGUUCGGAAUUACUGGGCGUAAAGCGCGCGUAGGCGGCUUUUCAAGUCAGACGUGAAAUCCUUAGGCUUAACCUGAGAACUGCGUUUGAUACUGUUGAGCUAGAGUGUGGAAGGGGCUACUAGAAUUCCGUGUGUAGCGGUGAAAUGCGUAGAGAUCAUGAGGAAGACCAGUGGCGAAGGCGGGUCUCUGGACAGUUCCUGACACUGAGGCACGAAGGCCAGGGGAGCAAACGGG